RNAcentral lists this ribosomal RNA (589 nucleotides) under uncultured Planococcus sp. RNAcentral describes it as "bacterial SSU rRNA". It matches the Rfam family "Bacterial small subunit ribosomal RNA", at positions 338 to 918 of the family's 1533-position model. Lineage: Bacteria; Bacillati; Bacillota; Bacilli; Caryophanales; Caryophanaceae. The record is from RNAcentral.
CCUACGGGAGGCAGCAGUAGGGAAUUUUCCGCAAUGGACGCAANUCUGACGGAGCAACGCCGCGUGAGUGACGAANGUUUUUCGGAUCGUAAAACUCUGUUGUGAGGGAAGAACAAGUACCAUUUAACUGAUGGUACCUUGACGGUACCUCACCAGAAAGCCACGGCUAACUACGUGCCAGCAGCCGCGGUAAUACGUAGGUGGCAAGCGUUGUCCGGAAUUAUUGGGCGUAAAGCGCGCGCAGGCGGUCCUUUAAGUCUGAUGUGAAAGCCCACGGCUCAACCGUGGAGGGUCAUUGGAAACUGGGGGACUUGAGUGCAGAAGAGGAAAGUGGAAUUCCAUGUGUAGCGGUGAAAUGCGUAGAGAUGUGGAGGAACACCAGUGGCGAAGGCGACUUUCUGGUCUGUAACUGACGCUGAGGCGCGAAAGCGUGGGGAGCAAACAGGAUUAGAUACCCUGGUAGUCCACGCCGUAAACGAUGAGUGCUAAGUGUUAGGGGGUUUCCGCCCCUUAGUGCUGCAGCUAACGCAUUAAGCACUCCGCCUGGGGAGUACGGCCGCAAGGCUGAAACUCAAAUGAAUUGACGGGG